AAAGACUGUGAAGAGGAUUCUUACCCUUGCAUUGAAACACCAAACUAGCUCUCCUUGCAAUUGUGGUGGUUCACCUAAUGAAUAAGAAGGAAAAAUCAUUUUGAUCGGGCUCCAGGGAUCCGUCUGUACUGGACUGUUGGACAUGCUGUCUUUCUAAGUGCAGUCUCUUUCAAAAAAAAAAUUAGACAUUAGAGGCACCAAAACAACUUUAGGAUAAUGAAGCAGUUUUGGUGUACAGAUCAUGCCCCUGCAGACUCACUGCUCAUUUCUCUGCAAUUUAGGGGUUGAAUCACUUUGAUUUUCCAUCCCUAAUCACACCACCCUGCAUGUGACUUGCACAGCCUUCCUAAAA
This is a non-coding RNA of Pelobates cultripes (western spadefoot toad), 352 nucleotides long. The record is from the annotation of a GenBank genome assembly. NCBI's taxonomy places the organism in Eukaryota, Metazoa, Chordata, Amphibia, Anura, Pelobatidae.